UGCCAGCAGCCGCGGUAAUACGGAGGGUGCAAGCGUUAAUCGGAAUUACUGGGCGUAAAGCGCGCGUAGGCGGAUAUUUAAGUCGGGUGUGAAAUCCCUGGGCUCAACCUAGGAAUGGCAUUCGAUACUGGAUAUCUAGAGUUUGGUAGAGGGAAGUGGAAUUUCCGGAGUAGCGGUGAAAUGCAUAGAUACCGGAAGGAAUACCAGAGGCGAAGGCGGCUUCCUGGACCAAUACUGACGCUGAGGUGCGAAAGCGUGGGGAGCGAACAGGAUUAGAUA
Molecule: ribosomal RNA, 279 nt
Filed under: uncultured bacterium
Lineage: Bacteria
Description: partial 16S ribosomal RNA
Rfam family: Bacterial small subunit ribosomal RNA
Source: RNAcentral